GGAGGAGUGGCCGAGCGGUCUAAGGCGGCGGUCUUGAAAACCGCUGGCGGCGAAAGUCGUCCGGGGGUUCGAAUCCCUCCUCCUCCGCCA
This 90-nucleotide transfer RNA is filed under the name Myxococcales bacterium. RNAcentral's name for it is "tRNA-Ser". It matches the Rfam family "tRNA". Rfam says of the family: Transfer RNA (tRNA) molecules are approximately 80 nucleotides in length. Their secondary structure includes four short double-helical elements and three loops (D, anti-codon, and T loops). Further hydrogen bonds mediate the characteristic L-shaped molecular structure. tRNAs have two regions of fundamental functional importance: the anti-codon, which is responsible for specific mRNA codon recognition, and the 3' end, to which the tRNAs corresponding amino acid is attached (by aminoacyl-tRNA synthetases). tRNAs cope with the degeneracy of the genetic code in two manners: having more than one tRNA (with a specific anti-codon) for a particular amino acid; and 'wobble' base-pairing, i.e. permitting non-standard base-pairing at the 3rd anti-codon position. The record is from RNAcentral. Lineage: Bacteria; Pseudomonadati; Myxococcota; Myxococcia; Myxococcales.